AUGGAGCUGUCCGGGAGCCCCGGCACGUGGAGCGGCCUCUCGCUGCGGCUCGGCCAGUUCCUCUUCGCCGCCGCGUCCGUCUGCGUCAUGUCCUCCGCGAUCGGCUUCGCCAACUACACCGCCUUCUGCUACUUGAUUGCAUCAAUGGGACUACAAGCACUCUGGAGCUUGGGACUUGCGUGUCUUGAUGGCUAUGCUUUGAGAAUGAAAAAGGAACUCAACAGUGCUGUUCUCGUGAGCUUAUUUGUUGUUGGAGAUUGGGUAACGUCGAUCCUGUCGUUCGCCGCUUCAUGCUCAGCAGGAAGCGUCGUUGUUCUCUUCGACAAGGAUGCGUACUUCUGCAGCAGGGACCCGCAUCUCCCCUGUGGGACAUUUGAGCUUGCGACCGCGUUUGCAUUCCUUUCCUGGGCGCUUAGUGCCACAUCUGCCCUUGUGAUGUUUUGGCUCCUCGCUUCAUCUUGA
This 462-nucleotide ribosomal RNA is filed under the name Triticum aestivum (bread wheat). Its description in RNAcentral is "partial small subunit ribosomal RNA". Lineage: Eukaryota; Viridiplantae; Streptophyta; Magnoliopsida; Poales; Poaceae. The record is from RNAcentral.